This 253-nucleotide ribosomal RNA is filed under the name uncultured bacterium. RNAcentral's name for it is "partial 16S ribosomal RNA". It matches the Rfam family "Bacterial small subunit ribosomal RNA", at positions 524 to 776 of the family's 1533-position model. The record is from RNAcentral.
UACGUAGGGGGCAAGCGUUGUCCGGAUUUAUUGGGCGUAAAGAGCGUGUAGGCGGUCUGGUAGGUCCGUUGUGAAAACUCGAGGCUCAACCUCGAGACGCCGAUGGAAACCAUCAGACUAGAGUCCGGAAGAGGAGAGUGGAAUUCCUGGUGUAGCGGUGAAAUGCGCAGAUAUCAGGAGGAACACCGGUGGCGAAGGCGGGUCUCUGGGCCGAAAUUGACGCUGAGGAGCGAAAGCGUGGGGAGCAAACAGG